CAAGAAGAUGCUGGAGCUUGCAAUGCAGGAAAUGGUUACAUUUAUGGAAUUGAGAACGAGGGUAUAAAUGUUUGUCCUGAGGAUUGGCCAACAGAAAAUAGGUGUAAUAGAAAGAAAAGCGGGAAGAGGCCACACCUCACAUCGCAGAUACAGCUACCGGACACCAAACCGUGGAGCUACCAGAUGCUGUGCAACCAGGCUAGCAGAAGUGCGCUGGUUCCCGUGGUUUCACCAGUUCCUCAAAAAGACAUUUGAAAAGACUUUCAGUCACUGACAUGGAUGGAGGUGGGCUUCCCUAGGUCCUUCU
Long non-coding RNA from Egretta garzetta (little egret), 307 nucleotides. RefSeq lists it as uncharacterized. NCBI's taxonomy places the organism in Eukaryota, Metazoa, Chordata, Aves, Pelecaniformes, Ardeidae. The record is from RefSeq and is a predicted model, not a curated record. The transcript is spliced from 3 exons.